Oryza brachyantha (malo sina) is the source of this 598-nucleotide long non-coding RNA. RefSeq lists it as uncharacterized. Lineage: Eukaryota; Viridiplantae; Streptophyta; Magnoliopsida; Poales; Poaceae. The transcript is spliced from 3 exons. The record is from RefSeq and is a predicted model, not a curated record.
CUACAACUCCACCCCACAAAACCCUAACCGAUCUAGGGCAAGCGCAGCCAGUGACAGGAAUCGCCACCGCCGCACCUUGACCUCCCGGGAGCACUACGACCAGGUCCUUGCCGGGGCUUCACCGACCACCGCCGCCGCCGCCAGCACCAAUCCUGGAUCGACGACGAUGGCCGGUUCCUCCUCCUUGGCAAGUGGCUCCACCGGUCUACAUUUGGAGAUCUGUUAAUUGCUGCUGGAAAGACUUUCUCUUAGAGCCUAAGAUCAUGGCAAGCCUUGCUGAUUCUUUCUUAGCGGAUCUUGAUGAACUGUCAAACAAUGAAGCCUAUCUUCUGAGUUGGUUUCAGUUACUAUGAUGUUACAGAUUUUUCAAUGAUUGAUUUGUUGAGAAUUUACAAACUAAUCAUAAAAAAUUCAGGAGGAAGAAAAUGCUGAAGCAAUGGGUAUGGAAGAGAUUGUUGAUGAUGAUAUGCCUGACCUUGUGUCUCUUAAUUAUGAUGACCUUGAUAGUGUUUCAAAGCUUCAGAAGACACAACGUUACAAUGACAUAAUGCAUGUAUGCGAUCAAACUCAUAAAUCUCCUCUUUCCCUUUCCCUCUGC